This 450-nucleotide ribosomal RNA is filed under the name uncultured bacterium. RNAcentral's name for it is "partial 16S ribosomal RNA". It matches the Rfam family "Bacterial small subunit ribosomal RNA", at positions 338 to 795 of the family's 1533-position model. The record is from RNAcentral.
CCUACGGGAGGCUGCAGUAGGGAAUAUUGGACAAUGGGUGCGAGCCUGAUCCAGCCAUGCCGCGUGCAGGAAGAAGGCGUUAUGCGUUGUAAACUGCUUUUGCCAGGGGAUAAAAUAACUGUGCGCAGUUGAUUGAAGGUACCUGGUGAAUAAGCCACGGCUAACUACGUGCCAGCAGCCGCGGUAAUACGUAGGUGGCAAGCGUUGUCCGGAUUUAUUGGGUUUAAAGGGUGCCCCUGUAGGUCUGUAAUGAAAUAUCUCAGCUUAACUGAGAGGGUGCCAUUGAUACUGCGGGGCUUGAGUACAGAUGAGGUAGGCGGAAUUGACGGUGUAGCGGUGAAAUGCAUAGAUAUCGUCAAGAACACCGAUAGCGAAGGCAGCUUACCAAGCUGUAACUGACGCUGAGGCACGAAAGUGUGGGGAUCAAACAGGAUUAGAUACCCCUGUAUC